Long non-coding RNA from Alexandromys fortis (reed vole), 1645 nucleotides. RefSeq lists it as uncharacterized. The transcript is spliced from 3 exons. Lineage: Eukaryota; Metazoa; Chordata; Mammalia; Rodentia; Cricetidae. The record is from RefSeq and is a predicted model, not a curated record.
GAGCCCACAGAGUGUUGACAACUGUGCAAGGGUGUGUGGCCAUCUGCCGUAGCAUGGGAAAGCUACAAGGGCCUCUACCCUAGAGAGAAAAUGGCUCUUCCUGCCUUCAGUCAUCAGUAGCCAAUAGCAAGCAGGCGGAGCUUCGUCAGCCCCUGGCUCAUCCAUGUGGCAGAUUGGACGGCUUUGAUCUUCAUCACCACCACAGUGAGUUGGUGUGUGCAACAGCCCCGUUAUUCCUGGAAAACACUGGUUUGCAGUCGUCCUCCACAGCCCCUGGCUCUUACAGUGUCUUCGCCUCCUCUCAGGAAAUAAUCCCAGAGCCUUCAGAAGAGGGUGGGGGAGAUGUCCUGUGCAGCGCUGUGCACCCCAAGUCUCAUCUUCUGUACAUUGGCUCUUUGCAAGAAUCUGAGGGUGCAGAACAGAUGUCGCAUUCUGUGCUGUGCACCCCAAGUCUCAUCUUCUGCACAUUGGCUGGUUGUAAGAAUCUGAGGGUGCAGAACAGAUGUUGCAUUCGAUGCUUCACACCCCCACAAUCCUAUGUUCUGCUCUUGACCAGUUGUGCCAAUGGUCAUCUACUAUGGAAAGGAGCUUCUCCCAAUUGCCUAGGUUUCCUGAGGAUGACGACAUUUUGCUCUCUCUGAUGGAUGAGGACGUCUCCGCUGCGUAUAUCUGCCACAUUUCCCUCACCGUUCAUCCUUCGAUGCCCACCUAGCUCCCAGCUUUCAUAACUUUGCUCUUAUGAACAGCACUCCAGCAAACAGACGUGUGAGCAUUUCUGACCUGUAUCGACUGAAGAGCGCUUCAGGUGUACACAACCUUGAAUCACAUGCACAUCGUCUUCUCAGUGGAUCUUGGUCCCUGAAGCCCCAGAUGCCCUGGCCUCCUUGACUAUAACUUACGUCUCCCUAGCCCGUCGACUGCCUAAAGCCCCACGGCUCCUCCAUUGCUACUCGACGUCAGCCCUGUCCAAGACUGGAAUUCGCAAAGGCCCUGCGGGAGAGCUUGUUUCAGAGACCCUCAGCCCAGCUUUCCUUCUUCUUUCUGGGUCGUGGCGGUGAAGUCCUGGUUGCUUUCGUAGAUCUCUGAUAAUCUCCAAGAGAGUUUUUCUUCAUAUCUUCUCCAACAUUCCUAGCUGUCUCCUCAUAUGCAAAUCUACAGAAAUCUAUUCUCAACGUGGAAGUGGUUGAAUAAACACAGUCUCGUGUUUUUUAAGUGUUUUGCACGUUGGAAACGUUACAUGGCCUCCUUUGUUUCAUGAGCUGUUUCCCACAUAUUCUUGCCCUCCUCUGUAGGAUCCCAGCGUGAUGUAAUUGUAGAUACGAGUCCCUCGAUGGCCCUAUAACAUUUUUCUUAAAUAAAAUAGGCACAUUCCCCAAAAUUUAAAAAAAAAAAAACCUUACUAUAACCCGUGGUCUCUGGUUUCCUAGGACUCUGAUUCAAACUUCUUAACUUUGCCUGCAUAUUUUAACUGUGUGGGGAUACUUAAAAACUGCUGAUAUAUAAAUUCUACAAUUAGAGGCUCUAAUUUAACUGGACUGGGGUGGGGUGGCUUCUGAGAAAGUGCUGGAUCUCCCUACAUAGUAACAAGGGACAGGAAAUCAUUGCUUCCGAGGGUAAUUUCGUUUUUAUAAUUUGAGUAACUGUU